UGCUCAUGUUGGUCCUGCUUUUAUUUCUUCUUCACAUUGUAAAGUCAUGCAGAUCCCCUUGCCACACUGUCACCCCAUGAGAGUAAUUAUAUUUUUAAUAUCUAUGGUCAAAGAAUGAGAAAAUAAACUUCCAGUAGUCCUAUAUUAAAAUUUACAUUAAUGUAUUUUAUAAACAGGUUGGGGUCUUUGGGAUUGAGUUUCUGCUCCCUAGGUGGAAUAUUGUGAAUAUGUAUCUGAGAAAAACAUGGUUUUCUAGGCUUCCAUUGCUAAUUAAUCUCUUUUAUGACAGACAUUUUGUCUUUUAAAUUUAUGAAUGCAUAGAUGGAUAGCUUAAUAUUUAUAGGGCAGGUUUACCUUUUUUAUCUCUGAGCCUCUUUCACCCUUGGGGAGGAAGGAUCAUCUCACUGUCACCCUUGUACUCUUUAAACCCAUGCUUUAAAAAUGCACUGUGAUUUUCUCAUCCCCCACCCCCUGUCUUAGCUGUAUCCAAAGAAAAUUUUUAUCCUUAUUUUUGUCUGUGGAGUGAGAUGUGAUAGCUACUUAGAUAAUGGGGGAAAUCCACGACUUAGAAUUAUUUCUUCUGAAAUAUUGUUUUAUGAUCUACUUCAUAGAUACGAAUCACUUUGGUAUGGACACUGGGUAGUGACUCUUAAAAUUCUUUUCAGUAGGUUGGAACUGAGGAGCAAAUCAGAGUCAGAAAAGAAAAUCUAGGGAACUUCAGUAAGAAAAUAGCUCUUCCAUCUUCUUCAUCCCUGUACUAGCAUCCUAAAGAACUCCAAAACAUCCU
This 787-nucleotide long non-coding RNA is filed under the name Pan troglodytes (chimpanzee). RNAcentral's name for it is "long non-coding RNA NONPTRT001847". The record is from RNAcentral. Lineage: Eukaryota; Metazoa; Chordata; Mammalia; Primates; Hominidae.